Molecule: non-coding RNA, 29 nt
Filed under: Homo sapiens (human)
Lineage: Eukaryota; Metazoa; Chordata; Mammalia; Primates; Hominidae
Source: RNAcentral
GAGCAUGGGUGCUGGGUCGAUGACAAUGA